RNAcentral lists this ribosomal RNA (512 nucleotides) under uncultured bacterium. RNAcentral's name for it is "partial 16S ribosomal RNA". It matches the Rfam family "Bacterial small subunit ribosomal RNA", at positions 28 to 523 of the family's 1533-position model. The record is from RNAcentral.
GACGAACGCUGGCGGCGUGCCUAAUACAUGCAAGUCGAGCGGAUUGAUGGGAGCUUGCUCCCUGAUAUCAGCGGCGGACGGGUGAGUAACACGUGGGCAACCUGCCUAUAAGACUGGGAUAACUUCGGGAAACCGGAGCUAAUACCGGAUAAUCCCUUUCCUCCCAUGAGGAAAGGCUGAAAGAUGGUUUACGCUAUCACUUAUAGAUGGGCCCGCGGCGCAUUAGCUAGUUGGUGAGGUAACGGCUCACCAAGGCAACGAUGCGUAGCCGACCUGAGAGGGUGAUCGGCCACACUGGGACUGAGACACGGCCCAGACUCCUACGGGAGGCAGCAGUAGGGAAUCUUCCGCAAUGGACGAAAGUCUGACGGAGCAACGCCGCGUGAGUGAUGAAGGUUUUCGGAUCGUAAAACUCUGUUGUUAGGGAAGAACAAGUACGAGAGUAACUGCUCGUACCUUGACGGUACCUAACCAGAAAGCCACGGCUAACUACGUGCCAGCCGCCGCCGUAA